This 254-nucleotide long non-coding RNA is filed under the name Daucus carota (carrot). RNAcentral's name for it is "long non-coding RNA (DCAR_LNC002214)". Lineage: Eukaryota; Viridiplantae; Streptophyta; Magnoliopsida; Apiales; Apiaceae. The record is from RNAcentral.
AAAUACUUUUUUCUUUAAUUUAUCAUUCUUAUGUUUGUUUUUGCUUGGUUUGUUUUUCAGGAUCUUGGAGAGAGACCUUACGGGUUUUCUUAUCAGACUUUAAAGUCUUAUUAUCUAAACGUCCGGAGAUAUCUUUGCGUAUCUUUCGGUUAGAUGAUAAACUUUAUUGGAUGAAAGUAAUCCCUGAUGCGGCUAUUGUAUCUAUGAUACAACUCAUCUACGAGUAUGUAGAUCCUGACAAAAAAAAAAAAAUG